This 524-nucleotide ribosomal RNA is filed under the name uncultured bacterium. RNAcentral's name for it is "partial 16S ribosomal RNA". It matches the Rfam family "Bacterial small subunit ribosomal RNA", at positions 28 to 523 of the family's 1533-position model. The record is from RNAcentral.
GACGAACGCUGGCGGCGUGCCUAAUACAUGCAAGUCGAACGCUUCUUUCCUCCCGAGUGCUAGCACUCAAUUGGAAAGAGGAGUGGCGGACGGGUGAGUAACACGUGGGUAACCUACCCAUCAGAGGGGGAUAACACUUGGAAACAGGUGCUAAUACCGCAUAACAGUUUAUGCCGCAUGGCAUAAGGGUGAAAGGCGCUUUCGGGUGUCGCUGAUGGAUGGACCCGCGGUGCAUUAGCUAGUUGGUGAGGUAGCGGCUCACCAAGGCCACGAUGCAUAGCCGACCUGAGAGGGUGAUCGGCCACACUGGGACUGAGACACGGCCCAGACUCCUACGGGAGGCAGCAGUAGGGAAUCUUCGGCAAUGGACGGAAGUCUGACCGAGCAACGCCGCGUGAGUGAAGAAGGUUUUCGGAUCGUAAAACUCUGUUGUUAGAGAAGAACAAGGACGUUAGUAACUGAACGUCCCCUGACGGUAUCUAACCAGAAAGCCACGGCUAACUUCGUGCCAGCCGCCGCCGUAA